Molecule: long non-coding RNA, 572 nt
Filed under: Homo sapiens (human)
Lineage: Eukaryota; Metazoa; Chordata; Mammalia; Primates; Hominidae
Description: non-protein coding lnc-RECQL4-1:1
Source: RNAcentral
AGCCCUUUAUCAAGAGUUGCAGGAUAAAAAUAGUCUUUGCAGCCAGACAUCCCUCCAGGCAUGUCUUCUGACCUGAGAGGGGCCAGUGUCCUGUACAGUAGAAGCCGGGGUUUCCGUGCUGCACCCGCAGCACCAGGGCACGCACCGUGGGGAGGCAGCCUUGGGCUGUGCCCGCGACAGGGCCCCUGCAUGCUGAGCAACAGCCUCACAUGAGCAGGCAGCACGGCCUCCUCUCCACGGGAGCCUCCACCGCCGGGGCUGUGAGCUUGAGCAGGGGUGGGUCCCCGCCUGCCCUGAAGCCACAGUCAGGCUGGGGGGUCACCGUGUCACCAGGCAGGCCAGGCUCAGCUGUCUCAGGGCUCUCGGGCCCCUCAGGUGGGGGUCGCUGCAGCUUGGCAGCAGCUCGCUGGCGCUUCAGGUCAGCCAGGGUGUGGUGGGCCUUGUCGUGGACCAGGGUGUGGGGGGUGGUGCUGUCCAGGGGGCUCAGCUGGUAGGAGACACUCCGGUCUAGUCGCUUGGAGUAUAGAUGCCGCACUGGGGAGCCCCCUACUCGGCCAUUGUGCGGCCUGACC